Molecule: long non-coding RNA, 7809 nt
Filed under: Gossypium raimondii (Peruvian cotton)
Lineage: Eukaryota; Viridiplantae; Streptophyta; Magnoliopsida; Malvales; Malvaceae
Description: long non-coding RNA (GRAI_LNC004927)
Source: RNAcentral
GAAGACCAAUUCAACAAGCUGGAGACGAUUAAUGCCAACAAAUGUGCAUUUUUGAACCAUAAAUGCAACCAAACCAAACAAACUUAAUAAUCCAAAACUGCAAAACCAAGCAUCCAUUCCUAUCUCCUUAAGCAACAAGUCACCCCCACCAAUGGCAAUUUCUUCAUUCAAUCCAAAAACCCAAACCUACACUUCCACCAGGCCCUGACCUCUCACUCACCUCCUUCAUAUUCCAAUCCACUUUCUCCAUCCCUCAUCACACUGCUCUCCUCGAUUCUAAAUAUUCAAACGAAACCCUAACCUUUCUCCAACUCAAAGCUCAUGUUUGAUCUCUUGCUUUUGCAUUACGCCACCAAUUUCACGUUGCUAAACAUGAUGUCGUCCUUAUCUUUGCCCCCAACUCAAUACGUUUCCCCAUAUCUUUCCUUGCUAUCGUCUCUCUUGGUGCCAUUGCCACCACUGCCAACCCUUCUUUCACUUUCACUGAGAUAUCCAAACAAGUCAAAGAUUCCAAUCCCAAGCUUAUCAUCACAAUCCCUCAGCUUUAUAGCAAAGUUAGCCAGUUCAAUGUUCCAUUGGUUUUCUUACAAUCAUCAAGCUCCCCCAACUUAUCAUCAGCUAUUCCAAAAGUCUCCUUUUACUCGGNNNNNNNNNNNNNNNNNNNNNNNNNNNNNNNNNNNNNNNNNNNNNNNNNNNNNNNNNNNNNNNNNNNNNNNNNNNNNNNNNNNNNNNNNNNNNNNNNNNNNNNNNNNNNNNNNNNNNNNNNNNNNNNAAAUUUCAUCGCUUCGACCUUAAAUUUCACGGCCGAUCAAGACAGGUACAUGGAAGGAAGGAGUGUAUGUUUGUGUUUCUUGCCAAUGUUUCAUGGGUUUGGUUCCGUCUUAACGUUGGCACAAUUGAGAAGAGGAAAUGUAUUGGUUUCGAUGACCAAGUUUGGGCUGGACAAAGUGUUGGGUGCCAUCGAGAAGUACAAGGUCACGCAUAUGUUCGUUGUGCCUCCGGUUAUGGUUUCUUUGGCAAAGCAAUGGCAGAUGAUGAACAAUAAGUAUGAUUUAUCAUCGUUGAAGCAAAUGAUUUAUCAUCGUUGAAGCAAAUUAUCUCUACUGCAGCCCCACUGAGCAGAGAUUUGAUCGAGAUAUGUGCCCACAUUUUGCCCCAUGUUCAAAAUUUUCAGGUAAUUUUCACAAUCAUACUCAUUAAAACCAUUUAAUAGAUUUAUGACACAUAUAACAUGUUCAAAUCCUAAAAAUCUUAAAAAUUCUAAAUAUUCCUUUCAAUUUUUUUAAAUUUUCAAUUAAGCCCCCCUUUUUUUUAAAAAAAGUCAAUAAGCCCCAAAUUUUUUAAAAUUUUAAUUAGAUUCCCAUUUUUUGAAAUUCUUAUUAAACCCUCUAAAAAUUUUGAAAAUUUUAAUUAGACCCCAAAAUUUAAUACUAGGAAUAUUUUCCACUAAUAUUGUUGUUUAAAUUAAACCAGAUCGACUGGUCAGACCAGUUGGACCAAAAACUGACCGAGGUAUUAGUUCAGAGAAAGGCAUUAUACUAGUUUUCUUUAGAACUGAUAUAGAUCGAUAUAAAAAUGAUUGAACUAAUUAGUUGCAUCGAAAUUUUUUUAUUUUUUAAUAUUUUAUAUUUUCAUGAAUUUUUAAUAGUUUAUUUAAUUAAACUAAACAGCCCGAUCGAUCCAAUUGGUGAUUAGAGCAAUUCGAUCACCCGUCCAAUUCUAAAAACCUUAAACAUUCAUCCCAUGUGUAUAUAUAUAAAAUUUAAGUAGCACAUUCUGUUUUAUUGCCUCUUGAAAUCGAAUGGAGUAGUGUGAAAGGGAGAUAUUCAUAAAUAAGUCCUAUAGCUACACACACAGUCCAAUUCGCUUCAUAACUUGACAUUGAUAUUUCUUUAGCAUUUGACAAUUUUGUAGUAUUGUCUUCGGUUGCAUAGUAGAAUUAAGUGGGUUAUUAAAGUGUAAAAUGAGGCGCCUGAGCUAAUCAUGAUUUAAAAUGAAAACAAAAAUGGUGCAGGCAUAUGGUAUGGCAGAAGCUUGCGGGAAUAUUUCAAUGGAGAAUCCUAAGGAAGGCCCUCCUUUCUCAGGACUCUAAUGCCUCUAAUUCAAUCCAAACAAUGAACCCCCUUCCUCCAAAUCAGAUGGGAGAAAUAUGCAUUCGAGGGCCCACUAUUACACUAGGUAAUAAGCUUUACAAUGAACCAUGGUUCAAUCCAGUUGGAUAUUCCAACUUCAGCAUUUAUAGUUAUUGUAUAUUGUCUCCUGAUCUUUAACCAUAUGGGACGCAAUAAUGGCAUCGUGAAUAAUUGUUUGCUACUUUGCUUAUAACUUUUGUUACAAGAAAUUCAAUCAUUGUCCUUCUAUCUAACAUUAUUACAGUCGUCAGCUUGCACUUUUUAUCUUCUUCUCAUGUAAUCCAAAUUGAAAUAAAUAUGUUAACUACUUUAAUUACAAGACAUACAUGACUAUUUAUCGUCCUUCCAUCUAACAACAUUAUAGUUACAAACCAUGACACAGAUGUUGAAUAAUUUGAAAUUGUUAGGAUUCUUAUAUCAACCUUUUGUAUUCCUAGUCUUUCGGGACCAACUAAUUUGAUUUCAUUAGUGGAAGGCUGUACCUAAAGAAAUCAAAGCAUCAAAUUUUCUUUUCUUCAUUAAUUUUUUGUAUUUAUUGAGUGUGUAAUAAAAGAUGGAUGAUAAUUACGAAUUGGUUUUCCUUUAAUACAUAUAAAUUAAGGUAAUUUGACAACAUUAUUUGUGGAUUAUUAUUGUUAGGUUAUUUUAACAAUCUAAAGGCUACGAAUGAAUAAGGGUGGUUGCAUACUGGUGAUCAUUUAGGUUAUUUCGAUCAACAAAGACAAUUAUUUGUUAUAGAUCGAAUAAAAGAGCUUAUCAAAUGUUAUGGUUUUCAGGUAAAGUUUUCAAACAUCUCUAGCUUUAUUUGUUUUUUCUUUUCUUUUUCAAUAAAAUAUCUGGAUGGCUUAGAAAAAAAUGAAUUUAUAAGGAUUAUUAAAAAAAAACACAUUUAUAAGGUUAUUUAUUAGGUGGCACCGGCAGAACUAGAAGGGUUGUUUCUUUCUCAUCCUGAUGUUGUCGGUGCUGUUGUUAUUCCGUAAGUAUAGUUUGAUCUCGUAUUUCUUUUUUAUAUUUUUGCUAAGGGUUAAAUCAUUAUUGAGAGUCUAAAUUUGUCAACUACUUUCAUAUUGGGGUUUGAAAAUUUUUUUAAUCUAAGCUAAUCCUUAAAACUUGAUAAUUGUUCUUAAAUUAGGGCUUGAACUAGGCAAUUUUUUUUCAAUUUAGGGUCUAGACCUUUUUUUAUUCAACUUACUCCCUAAACUUGUCGUCUGUUCUCACAGUAAAGCCUGAACUUUAGGAUUUUCAAGAAAAGAUCAGGGGCUAACUUGGAUAAAAAAAUUCAGACCCUAACGUGGGAACAAUUGCCAAGUUUAAGGAGUAACUUGGAUAAAAUAAAGUCCAAGCCCUAAUGUGGGAACAACUGCCAAGUUUAGAGACUAACUUGGAAAAAAAAAAUUCAAACUGUACUGUGAGAGCAGUUGCCAAAUUUAAGCCCCAAAUAGCGAGUAAUGCAUUAUCAAUUAAACUUUUAUUUUAUUCCUUCUAAUUAUUUAGAUUCCCUAAUAUAAAAGCUAGAGAGGUUUCAAUUGCAUAUGUUGUUAGAGCAUCAAACAGCUCACUAACUAAAAAAGAUAGGUUGCACGUUAUAAAAGAUUGCGAAGUGUCACUUUCUUAAAAAAUAUCCUAAGAUUAACUUUCGGAAAAAUUUUAAGAAGAGAUCAUUGCAAAAGUUGGAUCCAAGAUAUAAAAUACUCAAUUCUUCAUUGCCAAUAUUUUUCAUAAAAUUCCUGGUUACACAAACAGCUCCAAAGCCAUUAGUGUGAUUGCCCAUAGAUCACAAAACAAAUCCGUAAUAUUACCUCAUACAAGGUACUCAAAAAGAUUGAGUGUGAUGAUUGUAUUACCAAUGCAAAACAUCGUAAUUCUACAAUGGUUUAAUGAUUUUGGUUCAGUGAAUAGGUGAUUCAAUGGAAUUAGAGUUUAGCCUUUAUUCCCUCACUUUGUGUAAUAGAGAUUCAAUGAUAGACGCUAUUCAGACCUUUUGCUAUAUUACCUUCAACAACAAUGACAAAAAUCAACUCUUUUCAAUCUUUUCAAUUACAAACCAGCAUCUACUUAACCAUUAAAUCAUCUCUUCUGCAAGCAAAUUUCAUAAAAGAGAAACUUUCUCAUCAAUUAUGUUAGUGUUGGAUGAAAGAGGAGAGCAAGUGAAAAACAUCAAAAACCAAAGAAAUUAACACUACGUUUAGUUCGUUGUAAUAUAAAUAAGAGCUAUAAUCAAUAAUUCAACUGUUUGGUUGAAUGGAAUGAUGUUGUAAUAGUAUAAGUAAAAAAUCUAAAAUGAUCAGAGUACUCUUAGCAGAAGUUUUUUUUAGAUAGAUGAUUAUUGUUAUUGUUAUUCAAUUAUAAUAGAGUUAUUAUUAAAAAUAAUUUAAUAAUCAAUAAUCAAUAAUUUUAAAAAAUAAUAAUAUAUAAUUUAAUAAUAUUUUUAAUAUAAUUAUUUUUAUAUUAUAUUAUAUUAAAAUAUGAUUAAGUUAUUUUUUUAUUAAAUUAUAUUUUAAAAUUAAAUAUUUUAUAUUAAAUUAUAUUAAAAUAUUUCAAAUAUUUUAUUUUUAUAUUUUCUAAGUCCAAGUUCUAAUGGACUAAUCUGGAAUUUUUUUUUUUUUGUUAUUCAAUGUUGUAUGGAAUAACUAUUCUUUGGUGAUAUCAAAUAAAAGCUAUUACGGGAAGACAAGUAAUAGGGAAGUAAUGGUCAUUCCAUUGAAUGAGUAUUACGUUCAACUAAAUAAAUGAAUGGUUUACCAUUGUCAUUCCCCUAAACCAAAAACAUGGUGUUAGGAUGGUGACAAGCAGUGAAAAGGAGGUUGAAGUAGUGAAUUGUUUUUGUAGAUAUGAUGUAGUUUAAAAGAGGAGGAAGAAGAAGAAACAACCAUUUAAAAACACAGAUAAAAAACUAUUGUAAAUAUGGAAUUUUGCCGGGACCUUAACUCAAUUGACAAAUCUGACUUGUAAUUUCUAAAUAUCAAAAUCAUUUUAGUUUUAAUAUUUUUUUUAUAUGAUAUCACAAUUUUAAAUUUUAGAUUUUGUUUUGAACUUAAGUUAAUUAUAGUUUAAUGGUGAGUAAUGGAAUGGGAAAUUUUGAUUUGAUUUGGGCCCAUUUUUAAUCAUUUUGGAUUGUUCUAUCAAAUUUUGGGCUUUGGCCCAUUUGUUUUGAAUUUUAUGAAUGUUCUAAAUAUUCCAAAAAAAUAAAAAUUACAAAAUUAACCAAAAAACCAAAAGAAAGGAAAAUAUACAAAAAGCCCUUAGUUUUCUAAAAUUUAUAGUUUGGUCCAGAUGACUAUUUUGGGGAUUGCUAGCUCUCACUAACUCCUUUGCCAGCUUUCAAGCAAAAAAGGAGGAGAAAAGAUUCAUUUAUAAAGGAGCAUUUGCAAAAUGGAUAAUAAGGUUAAUGUUCAAGAAAAUUCUCAAAAACAGAUCAAAACAAACUCCAUUCUUUAUUGAACUAACCUAGAGAUUCCCCACCACCAAACAACCAUUAUUCACCAGUACGGUCAUCAUUAUAUCUACACACCACCCUACAUCCACCCAAAAACUAACUUAUGCAAUUGAAACCUUUUCAAUUAGUUUUGGGGCCACAAGCCAAAGAGGAAUAGCCAACAUUGAAAUAUCAAUAGUAGUGCCAUUUCCAAUAAGAACCAUACCAUUUGCCAUGUCAUGUGUCACAUGGUAGGUUGCACUAGAAUCAACAUACCAGCUAGCAUCCAAGGGACGUGUAAUAGCUGUCAAAGCAUGAGCAUGAGCUAAACUGUUUUGAGUUGAUGAACAGUCAAGAUCACUUAGAAGUAAUGAAAUUAAAAAAGUAGGAGAAGGAAGAAUUAGGGAGAAUAUUAGCCAAUAUUAAUUAUGUGCUAAAAUUCUAAGAGUUUGGUAAACUCUGGUAAAGAUAACUAAUAGGUUGUUAAUAACAGAAUAGUCGUUGUUAGAAGCAAUUACUUCAAGAGUUUAACUUAGAUGAGACUCAUUAGUCAAGCUAUAUACAUAGCAACUGAUGUAAAUAGAAAAGUUAGUCUUCUAUUGAAUAAAAUUCGGAUCAUUGCUUAAUUGUUUCCUUUAAGUUUUCACUUUUCUUGUUUGUUCCAUUUAUAUUUCUAACAUGGUAUUAGAGCUACGUGCCUCACGACUAGAUGAGCUGUUUUACAUGUGUUUUAUGUUGUUGAGUUCACUAAUGUGUUGGGUUCAUAAAUUUCCAGUGCACACUAUGAUAGUUUGCAAAGUUAUGGUUUCGAUUCAUUUUUCCUUCAUCUUUUGCAUUGAUCAUUGACUUGUUGUCUUGUCAUAAUGGUUGCGAUGGGUUGUGCACUAGAGGUGUUUGAUGAAAUGUAUGAUUCAUUUUUUACCGCGUUCUUUAAUCAAGCUUCAUUUUGCACUUUGUUCUCAUGUGUUUGUGUUCUUGAGUGAAUCUUGAAGGUUUUCAUGUUACGGAUUCAUGGUCUGAUAUGACUUCAUCAAUCUCUUUGUUUGAUUUUGGUUCCUUACGUUGAUUACGAUUUGAGCGUAUUCUUGAUUAGAGGUGAGCAAAACUCGAUUCGACUCGAAAAAAAAUUAAAUUUUGAGUUAAUCAAAUCAAGUUAUUCGGUUUUUCAUGUCAACUAGAAUAAAUAAUUCGAGUUUCGAGUUCGAGUCGAGUUAAAUUUUACAAUUCAAAUAACUCGAAUAAUUCAAAUAACUCAACUAACAGAUUGGUGUAAAUACACCUUUGGUCCCUGUUAAUUUUGAAACUGAGCAAAUUGGUGUCUCUCAACAAAAAGUACGGAAAAAAUUCAAAAUAAUUUUUAAAAUUCUAAAAUUUAUAUUUUAAAAAAGUAUAAAAAUAUUAAAAAAACUAAAGAAUAUUCAAAACAAUUUUUAAAAAAAAAUUCUAAAAUUAUAAUUUUUGAGACCUAAAAUUAAUUAUUGAAGUUUAUCCUUCUAAAGUAUCUUUUUUUUCCUCUUAUUUUGCUUUGAAAGAGUUUUCAAAAAUACAUUGUUUCAGAUUUAUGUGUUCUAACAUGAAAUUAGUUAUAUUGUAACACAAUUUUAAUUUGACAUGUUUAAUUUUUUUAAUUUAACUCGAACAAUUUCAUUCAAUUUAACUCGACUCGAUUUGAAAAAAUUCAAAUAGAGUUGGAUGUGACAACUCGAUUUUCAGUGAUACCGGAAAAGAUAGUUUCGAAACCCCAUUUUAAUAAAUUGAGUCUGUAAAUAUUAAAUAUGAAUAUUUACGGAAUUGAUGUAACACUCUUAACCGUUAUUCGUGUUAUAUAUUUAUUUCGUUUUAAUCAUUCGUAAAUAUUAAAAUUUUAAUUUUUUUUUAAUCUUGCAUUUAUUUCGUUUGUAGCUGUUCCCAAGACGUCCAAUAAAGAAAUCGAUAGAAAAAAUUAGCAAACAUUGAUAGCCGCCGAAAGAGCAGACCUGAGACCAUGACCACAACAAAAUAAUAAUUCAUCAUCAUCUAUAUUCAAACUCAACAAACUUUGCAAAACCAAGUAUAAAUUCAUUCAAGCAGCCUAACCCCCCAAAGAAAAAUCCACAAGGCUUGAUCCCAAUCUCCUCAAUCAGCACGCCCCCCCCCCCCCCCCAAAAAAAAAAAAAAAUCAAUGGCAAUUUGUUCAUUCAAUCCAAAAUCCCAAACCUACACUUCCCCAAGGCCCCCUCUCAAGCUCCCAACAAGCCCUGACCUCUCACUCACCUCCUUUAU